GUCCAUGCUGUAAACUAUGAGAACUUGCUGUUGGAUGCAUAAAGGCAUUUAGUAGCGAAGCUAACGCGUUAAGUUCUCCGCCUGGGGAGUACGGUCGCAAGACUAAAACUCAAAGGAAUUGACGGGGGCCCGCACAAGCGGUGGAGCAUGUGGUUUAAUUCGAUGCAACGCGAAGAACCUUACCUACUCUUGAAUCCACGGAAUUUUUGCAGAGAUGCAGAAGUGCCUUCGGGAACCGUGAGACAGGUGCUGCAUGGCUGUCGU
RNAcentral lists this ribosomal RNA (264 nucleotides) under uncultured bacterium. Its description in RNAcentral is "partial 16S ribosomal RNA". It matches the Rfam family "Bacterial small subunit ribosomal RNA", at positions 793 to 1055 of the family's 1533-position model. The record is from RNAcentral.